UAUGCCUCCCAGUGUUUCCUAGUGUCCCAGGGACAAAGACACAUAGAGAAAUGGGAACACUGAGACACUAGGGGACACUGGGAGACAU
This is a non-coding RNA of Pelobates cultripes (western spadefoot toad), 88 nucleotides long. The record is from the annotation of a GenBank genome assembly. Lineage: Eukaryota; Metazoa; Chordata; Amphibia; Anura; Pelobatidae.